Stegodyphus mimosarum is the source of this 73-nucleotide non-coding RNA. NCBI's taxonomy places the organism in Eukaryota, Metazoa, Arthropoda, Arachnida, Araneae, Eresidae. The record is from Rfam.
GCCUUUGUGGUGUAGUGGUCUGCAUGCUGAACGCGUAAGCCAGAGGUCUGUGGUUCGAAUCCCGGCGAAGGCG